UCCCCUCGCGGCAAAGAAACAAAAGGUGCGACGACCUCUGCCCUCGCGGCCUCGCCCCCAAUUUGUGAUUUCUUGAUUUGCUGAAAUUACUAGAUGGAGGCAGUCGAUCUAUUUAACAGAUGCAAGUAUCUAAAUUUAUGUUCCCUUUGUUUGGCCAAACGUAGAUGAAGAUGAAGAGGAGUGGAAUUGUUGGCAGUAGCAUAUUUGCAAUGUGGGAAAAGGCUUCAAAAGCAAGGAAAAUAGGUGAAGUAUCCACACCGAAUCAGACCGUAGCUGCAUCUAGUACUUGUACUUCUCCUGUUCAUUUGGAGAGCAAUUUGCAAUUGGUGUUAUGGCAAGAACCGGAGAGUAGAGGAGAAACCUCAAUGCCUCAUGUAGAAGAUGAUGAAUUUAUUGAUGAAGAUGAUGAACCGAUGCAAGCAGAUUUGGAGGCACUCGAACAUGAUCCUGGAAAGCGGAUUCCCAUCUCAAUGUAUGCUGUCAAUGACCAAGAUAGAGUAAGAAGGAGAUAUAUUGAGAUGGGGUGAUGUCAACCAAAGAAUCAUGAGUUCAAGUUUACAAAUAAAAGUGGGAAAGAUCGUCGCUUUUGUCGUGCUUGGUUUAAAGAAUUUCCAUGGAUUGAGUAUAGUGUGGAAAAACAUAGAGCUUUCUGCUUCGUUUGCUAUUUGUUCAAGGAUAAAACAAGAUGUCCCGGUGGAGAUGCUUUUGUGAAUAAAGGAUUUAAUAACUGAAACAUGAAGUCGAGAUUGAAGAAACAUGAAGGUGAGGUUAGUAGUGCUCAUGCUGAAGCUCAAGAGAAGUAUGAUAGGUUCACUACACCACAAACAUCAAUUCAGGAGUCUAUUGCUUCAAACACCUCACAAUACAAGGCUUUGUGUAAACAGCGUUUGACAUGGACACUCAAGUGUGUGAGAUUUCUGUUGUGCCAAGGCUUUGCAUUUAGAGGACAUGAUGAAAGUGAAGACUCGCUAAAUAAAGGAAAUUUUCUUGAGCUUCUAAAUUGGCUAGCUGGAAAUUUUGAAAAGAUUGACAGGGUUGUUCUCAAGAAUGCUCCACGGAACUGCAAGAUGACUCACCAUGAUAUACAACAAGAGGUGAUAAAAUGUUGUGCACAAGAGACUACUAAAUUAGUCAUUGAAGAACUUGAUGGUGGUCAUUUUUGCAAUACUUGCAUAUGAGUCUAGUGAUGUGUAUCAGAAUGAACAAUUGGCUGUUUGCUUGCGUUUUGUUGAUAAGAAAGGAAGGGCGGUUGUUAGAUUUCUUGGUAUUGCUCAUGUUGAAGAUACUACCUCUUUGACACUAAAAGCUGCAAUUCAGAAAAUGCUUAUGGACUACAAUCUGACCUUUUCGAUGGUUCGUGGGCAAGGAUAUGAUGGAGCUAGUAACAUGAGAGGUAAUGUUAAUGGCCUGAAAAAACUGAUUAUGGAUGAGUCCCCUUCUGCCUACUAUGUUCAUUGUUUUGCCCAUCAACUACAGUUAACUCUUGUUGCUGUUGCUAAGGAGAGUGGUGAUUGUACUUGGUUCUUUCAGCAUCUUGCACACUUGUUAAAUGCUCUUGGCAUGUCUUGUAAAAAGAUGAGAAUGCUUCAGAUAGCUCAGGCUGAAGAACUCAUUGAUGCAUUGGAAUUGGAAGAAGUAGAAACAGGGAGUGGGCUGAAUCAGGAAAUGGGUUUGGGAAGGCCAUGUGAUACACGUUGGGGCUCUCACUUCAAAACUGUGAACCAUGUCAUCUCUAUAUAUGGUGCACUACGACGAGUCAUUCGCAAGAUUGGAGACGAGUACCAUGGUGCGGAGGCACAAGCGGCUCUAUCCAUAGAGACAAUAUUUCGAUCAUUUGAGUUUGUUUUCAUGGCACACUUGAUGCAAGAAAUAUUUGGAUACACAGAUGAGUUGUGUAGAGCUUUGCAAAAGCAAGACGAAGAUAUUGUUCAUGCUAUUGAGCUUGUUCGUGACACAAAGUAUUACUUGGAGACUUUGAGGACCGAUGCUGGAUGGGAUGAUUUUCUCAUAAAGGUCACAUCUUUUUGUACAAAGCAUAAGAUCAAAGUUGUUGAUAUGGAGGGUCCUUACUUUCCCGUUGGCCAGCCUAGAAGGGGUUUAUGUAAUGGUGUGAUCAAUUACCACCGCUUCAAGGUUGAUAUGUUUGUGGGUGUCAUUGAUAGGCAAAUCAGUGAGCUGAAUGGCAGAUUUGAUGAGGUAAACACAAAGCUACUUUCUUGCAUGGCAACAUUCUGUCCACUUCAUCUAUUUGCUGCUUAUGACCAAGAGAAGUUGGUUAGGCUUGCUACAAAGUUUUAUGCUUCUGAUUUUACAAGUGAUGAACUGGCAAGACUUCCAUGGCAACUAAACAUGUAUGUUACUAAUGUGCGUAGAGAUGAAAGGUUUCAAAACCUGAAAAAUCUGUGUCAACUUUCAGUUGUGCUUGUGGAGACGAACAAGCAUGAACAAUAUCAUAUUGUUUACAAGCUUCUUAAGUUGGUAUUGAUUCUGCCAGUAGCUACGGCUAGUGUUGAAAGGGUAUUCUCUUCCAUGAGCCAUGUGAAGAAUAAGCUAAGGAGCAAAAUGGGUGAUGAAUAUUUGAACAAUUGUUUGGUUACAUUUGUUGAGAGAGAACUUUUCAAUCAAGUGAAGGAUGAAGAUGUCAUCAAUCUCUUCCAAAAAGGUGACCGCAAAGUUAUAUUGUAAGAAGGAUAUCAUCACUUUAUCAAUCAAAAGGUACUUAUGUAUUCAUGUCGUUAUGGUCUGGUACAUUGAAAUAUUGCUAUUAUGGUUAUGCUAGUGUUGUUUUGUUCAUAUAUUGCUAGUGUUGUGUUAUUUGGUUCAUAUACUACAUUUAGAGCAAAAAAUAUUUGAAUGAAUACCCAGCCUUCAUUUCCUGGAGCCGCCACUGCCGACAUGCCCUGCCAACCCACCAAGGUGAUCGCGCUCGGAGGAACCCUGCUGGGCUGGGUGGACCUCUGGCAGGGCAUCGUCGUCCUCGACGUGCUCGACGACGACCCCAUGCACGUUCGGUUCAUCCCGCUGCCCAAGCCCGAUUUCUGCCGGUCCGAGUAUCACGCGCCCUGGGAUCGAGCUCCCCCCAACGCGGUCCACCGGGACAUCGCCUACUGCACCGACGGUUUCAUCAAGUUUGUCGACAUGGAUCUCCGGUUCCGCCACGUUGCCAUGAUCAAGGAAAGGCCCGUGAUCAAGACGACCACGGAUCUCGAUCACGCAGACACCAUCCUCGACUCCAAGCUCCUCCGCCGCGAAUGCGAAGAUAACAACAUACAUUUCGUCCGCGUCCCUAAUGGUUGGAAGAUCCGAACAUGUUACAGGCAUGUUUCGUGGGACUACUGGCGCAAGGACUGUCGGUGUCAAAACCGGCGGAUCUUGGAUAGAAACUCUUGAACCACAUUGUGAGGAUCAUGCCCAUGUCCGAGCUUUUACAUUCUCUCAACAUAUGAAUACACCUCCUCCACCCCACCAAAACACGUGGAACGACGACAUGGAUGGCUACUACUACAAUGGAAGCUUCUAUGGACAUGAUCGAGGUACGACAAUAUCAACUACCAGCUGCAUCCACCCGCCGGAUGGUCGUCUAAUCUGCCACAAUCUCACCAUGCCAGCUUGAAAUCAUUCGGAUCAGGUAAUAACACUCACAAACCUUGUCAUAUGAAAUUGCCCCCCUUUUUCCAAGAAUUUAAAAGUUCCCAAACUUUAAGGUCUUCGAAAUCAAUUUAAGAAAAUAACAAUAUGCAUACAGUUCUUUUCCUGACAUGAAUAUAGUUUUGUGCUACCUCUUACUACUUUUUUUAUAAAGACCUCUUACUAUUUUUUGCUUUUGCUAAAGGUUCCAUCUAUCCAGUGAACCCCCAAUUGAUGUAUCCAGUGUCAACGGUGAACUCUGCAGCCCAUGGCGAACAAUGCUUAUCACUAUCGUUGUUGCCAAUGUGGCCGGAAUCCUCAUAGCCCCCGGCUUAUUCUUCAACAGGCAUGGUUCAAUUUAGUUUCAAUAAUACCUUUAUAACUGUUACAGACCCACAAGGUAUGCAGCGGGCAAAAAUUAUGGUAAAGGGCUGGUGGUGGAAGAGAUGUUUUUGUUCUUGUUUCUGGAAGUUCUGGGGUGUUGAGGACUGUAGGAAGUUUACAUGAACUUUUUUUAGCAGUUUUGGUGUGAAGUGCGCUGAAACGAAUUUCAGUGCAUUCCUACUGUUUGGUAGUACUUCUUUUAUUUCGGUUAGUGUGUCAGUUUUUAGUAUAUUUUCAGUUCGCUGUGUUUAUAUUUCAGUUCCUCGGAAUGGGCACCAUAAGUGUUUGUUUUAGUCUUUCAGCUAUUAGUCUCAGUUUUUUAGUAGAUUCGGUUUUAGCUGUUUUGGUAGAUCAUUUUCUUAGCUUUAUUGUUGAUUCAUUUUUAGUUCUUUUAGUAUAUCAUUUUCUCAGCUCUAAUGUAUUUGUUUGAAUCAUCAUUUAGUUUUCAGUUUUUAGUCACCAGUAUUCCUAAGGAUCAGUACCUUAAGUGUUUCAUUUGACGAAAAAGGGUUUCCCCCGCUUUGUAUUACAAAGCAACCACCGAUACAUCCAACGAUAGGUGCUGGGGCCGCAGCACAGAUAAGCCCAAAGAAAAACAAAGAAGAAAGGAAGAGAAACAAAUGCCAACAACGGCAGAUCGAC
Molecule: long non-coding RNA, 4653 nt
Filed under: Triticum aestivum (bread wheat)
Lineage: Eukaryota; Viridiplantae; Streptophyta; Magnoliopsida; Poales; Poaceae
Description: long non-coding RNA (TAES_LNC003676)
Source: RNAcentral